CUGCAAUUAAAGUUUGGUGCGAAGUCCGGCUCCCGUAGGAGUCCGGACGGAGCUUACCGACAGUUGAAGUCGGCGACGGAGCCCGGCUCCUGUAGGAGUCCGGGCGGAGUCUCCCUUGGAGUCGUGGAUGGAGCCUGACUCCCGUAGGAGUCCGGGCGGAGUCUUUUUUGGAGUCGUGGACGGAGCCCGACUCCCGUAGGAGUCCGAGCGGAGUCUUCCUUGGAGUCGUGGAU
This 233-nucleotide long non-coding RNA is filed under the name Elaeis guineensis (African oil palm). RNAcentral's name for it is "long non-coding RNA (EGUI_LNC073466)". Lineage: Eukaryota; Viridiplantae; Streptophyta; Magnoliopsida; Arecales; Arecaceae. The record is from RNAcentral.